RNAcentral lists this small nuclear RNA (160 nucleotides) under Rhipicephalus microplus (southern cattle tick). RNAcentral describes it as "U1 spliceosomal RNA". It matches the Rfam family "U1 spliceosomal RNA". From Rfam's summary of the family: U1 is a small nuclear RNA (snRNA) component of the spliceosome (involved in pre-mRNA splicing). Its 5' end forms complementary base pairs with the 5' splice junction, thus defining the 5' donor site of an intron. Lineage: Eukaryota; Metazoa; Arthropoda; Arachnida; Ixodida; Ixodidae. The record is from Rfam by way of RNAcentral.
AUACUUACUUGGUGUCGGGCUUUCCGGAAAUCAAUGAGGCCGGGGUCCCAUGCUGAGGCCAUUCAUUGCACAUAGGAUGGCUGACGCACGCCACUGUCCAAAAAGGGAUGGCGGGCAUGUAAUUUUUGGUAGUGGGGCUUUGUGUUCACGCCAGCCCUAG